RNAcentral lists this ribosomal RNA (473 nucleotides) under uncultured Acidobacteriota bacterium. RNAcentral's name for it is "bacterial SSU rRNA". It matches the Rfam family "Bacterial small subunit ribosomal RNA", at positions 8 to 473 of the family's 1533-position model. Lineage: Bacteria; Pseudomonadati; Acidobacteriota. The record is from RNAcentral.
AGAGUUUGAUCAUGGCUCAGAAUCAACGCUGGCGGCGUGCCUAACACAUGCAAGUCGAACCGCGAAAGGGGCUUCGGCCCUGAGUAGAGUGGCGAACGGGUGAGUAACACGUGGGUGAUCUACCUUCGAGUGGGGGAUAACGUUCCGAAAGGAACGCUAAUACCGCAUGACGUUCUGGGUUUAAAGACCUGGAAACCAAAGCCGGGACCGCAAGGCCUGGCGCUGGAAGAGGAGCCCGCGUCCGAUUAGCUAGUUGGCGGGGUAAUGGCCCACCAAGGCGACGAUCGGUAGCCGGCCUGAGAGGGCGGACGGCCACACUGGAGCUGAGACACGGUCCAGACUCCUACGGGAGGCAGCAGUGGGGAAUUGUUCACAAUGGGCGCAAGCCUGAUGACGCAACGCCGCGUGGGGGAUGAAGGUCUUCGGGAUCGUAAACCCCUGUUCGAACGGGACGAAAGACUCUGGAGCUAAUC